AGGGAGGAAAGAACCAACAGGGAUUGCCCCAGUAACGGCGAGUGAAGCGGCAACAGCUCAAAUUUGAAAUCUGGCUCCUAGAGCCCGAGUUGUAAUUUGUAGAGGAUGCUUUUGAUGCGGUGCCUUCCGAGUUCCCUGGAACGGGACGCCAUAGAGGGUGAGAGCCCCGUCUGGUCGGAUGCCAAAUCUCUGUAAAGCUCCUUCGACGAGUCGAGUAGUUUGGGAAUGCUGCUCAAAAUGGGAGGUAUAUGUCUUCUAAAGCUAAAUAUUGGCCAGAGACCGAUAGCGCACAAGUAGAGUGAUCGAAAGAUGAAAAGCACUUUGAAAAGAGGGUUAAAUAGUACGUGAAAUUGUUGAAAGGGAAGCGCCUAUGACCAGACUUGGGCCCGGUGAAUCAUCCAGCGUUCUCGCUGGUGCACUUUGCCGGGCACAGGCCAGCAUCAGUUUGUCUUGGGGGAAAAAGGCUUUGGGAACGUGGCUCCUUCGGGAGUGUUAUAGACCAUUGCAUAAUACCCUGGGACGGACUGAGGUUCGCGCAUCUGCAAGGAUGCUGGCGUAAUGGUCAUCAGCGACCCGUCUUGAAACACGGACCAAGGAGUCGUCUUCGUAUGCGAGUGUUCGGGUGUAAAACCCCUACGCGUAAUGAAAGUGAACGCAGGUGAGAGCUUCGGCGCAUCAUCGACCGAUCCUGAUGUUCUCGGAUGGAUUUGAGUAAGAGCAUACGGGGCCGGACCCGAAAGAAGGUGAACUAUUCCUGUAUAGGGUGAAGCCAGAGGAAACUCUGGUGGAGGCUCGCAGCGGUUCUGACGUGCGAAUCGAUCGUCAAAUAUGGGAAUGGGGGCGAAAGACUAAUCGAACCUUCUAGUAGCUGGUUUCCGCCGAAGUUUCCCUCAGGAAA
Molecule: ribosomal RNA, 898 nt
Filed under: Simplicillium sp.
Lineage: Eukaryota; Fungi; Ascomycota; Sordariomycetes; Hypocreales; Cordycipitaceae
Description: partial large subunit ribosomal RNA
Rfam family: Eukaryotic large subunit ribosomal RNA
Source: RNAcentral